CUACAUUCAUUACAGAUGCAAGAAAAAAGUGUGCUUGCACUUUCUGUCUGUUUGAUUGUGGCAGCCAAGAUUGAAUAGAGGAAUACAGGG
Molecule: small nucleolar RNA, 90 nt
Filed under: Carlito syrichta (Philippine tarsier)
Lineage: Eukaryota; Metazoa; Chordata; Mammalia; Primates; Tarsiidae
Description: Small nucleolar RNA SNORA31 (ENSTSYG00000025262.2)
Source: RNAcentral